This 2581-nucleotide long non-coding RNA is filed under the name Populus trichocarpa (black cottonwood). RNAcentral describes it as "long non-coding RNA (PTRI_LNC003200)". The record is from RNAcentral. Lineage: Eukaryota; Viridiplantae; Streptophyta; Magnoliopsida; Malpighiales; Salicaceae.
GGGGGAAAAAAGUAGGAGAAGCUCUUUUCUCUGCCACUGAAUUUGCUCUUCUCCUUUAUCCUCGUUUUUCUUUCUUUGUUUCCUGUUUCGAAGACUUGAAAGCUUUUGUUAGUUUUCCCGAGCAGCCAAUGAAGGCUCUGUGUGUGCUUUGAUGCUCCAUGAAUCCAUGCGCAAACUAAGCCCAGCCAAUUGGUUCAUACAAAGAAAGUAGAAGAAGACUCAAUCCAUUCGGUUUCCGAAAGCCUUUUAGGAUAAAAAGACAUGUAAAAAGUCAUGAUUUCGUGGUCUGAAAGAGUUUUUCAUUUCUUACAUAAUUUUUGCUUGGACUUUGGAUUAUUAAAAUUUAUUUUCACUGUUUCAUAAGAAUUUCUAACAUUUUGAUAUCACUAAUAAAAUAAAUGGAUUAAAAACACUGAUUAUUUUCUCCUCUUACCCAUUUCUUUUGUUAUAUUCCUUCACUGGCCCUCUGGGAGAAUCAUGUGCAUACGUGCAAUACAACAAAAGGUGGAAAAACACAAACCAAUAAACCCAAGUGGUUUCCAUAGAUUAAAAAAAAUUCUCAUUUUAGUUUUAAAGAAGAUUGUCACUUCUGUUCUGGUUGUAAUUCUGUUUUCUCAAUUGUAAUGAUAUGUUUUAGUUUUGAAGUAUUUUAACAUGUGUUUUCGGGAUUGUAGUAUUCUUAUAUAUAAUUCAAAAUAUUAAUUCGAUAAAUAUAAUUUCAAUUUAAAUUUAAAAAUAAACAAAUUAGAAAUUAUAUUAUUCAAAUUUCAAGCACAAAGUAAAAAAAUAGAGUUGAACCUGUUUGAAAUUAUACAAUUUAAACUUCAAACACAUGUAAAAAAGUAGGAGUUGAACCGAUAUAACCUAAUCGACUCGAUGAGUCCAAAAACAACCUGGACAACCGGUAAAAAUACAGUUUGACUAUAAAAAAAUCCAACUUAACAUCUUUUAAAAAAAAUUGAGACGAUAACAUGUUAGUCGACCCGGGUUAACCUUUUAAAUUCGUGACCCAAGUAAUGAGAUUAUGAUAAUUUCGAAUAAAGCAAAUCAAAACAAAUUAUAAAACUCAAUUUUCAAUAAAUCCAUUAUUGAAUGAUAAAUUUUUUAAAAAAUUAAUCUAAAAAAAGACAAUAAAAUAACAUUUCUAAAUAAAAUCAUGAAUUUAGACAAAAUUACAAAAAUGCAUUUAAUGAGUCAUUUUCUAUAUUUGUGUCCUAUCAUUUUCUGGACUUUGAUUACUCUAAAAUUUUAACAUGAGAUAUAAAAAUAUAUCAGGAGAUUCUUUGUAAAAUUUCAACUCGAUUUCAUGAUCGGAUUGAGAGAUAUGAUUGAUACUAUAAAAUUAAAAAAUAUUAUUUAAAAAAAAAGCAAAAAAAAACAUUAUUUUGCCGGAACAUAAACUGGAAUUUAGACGGAAUUUUUGGAGUAAACUGAAAUUCUAAAUGAGAUAAAAUUUAUUCUAAUUUGUUCUAUUUUUUAAACUGUAACAAAAAUAUAUCAACCAUUCCGAUAAAAUAGAAUAAAAAUGACAAUCUUAGUUUGUUUCUUCUCUUACCCAUUUCCUUUGUUAUAUUCCUUUGAGAAAAUCAUGUCCAUACCAACAAAAAGGGGGAAACACGGGAGAAAUAAUUAACAAAUCCAACUAACUUGAAUUAUAGGUUGACUUGAAAAAAAAAUUGAAGACUCCAAGUAUAAGUAUAUAUGUAUUUUUAUGGUUGUCAUUUAAAAAACAAUUAUAAAUUAUAAUUUUUUCAAAUUAAAGUUUUAAAAAAGAGUUUAUAAUGAAAUUUAUUAUUCUAAUCACAAUUGUUAAUUCUAAUAUGACUUAUUACAUGAUCAUCUAACAAACUAAAGACUUAAAAUAUGUGUUUAGAAUUGUGAUAGUUUUUAUUGAUAUAAUUUUAAUUUUUUUUUUGAAAAAAGCUAUAAAUCAUAAUUUUAUUAUUAUUAUUAUUAUUAUUUUAUUUUUUGUAAUCCAGGUUUCAAAAGAGUUUGACCCUUGAAAAUCCUUUUUCCAGAUAUGACAAUAUUUUCAAGUUUGACACCAAAGCAGCAUGAUAAAAAGAAAAAAGAAAAAAGAAAAAAGAAAAAAGAAAGUAGAAACAAAACGCACCGUCAUACGGAUAACAAAAUUACUAAAAUAAACGCAAAAUAGGACAAAUUCGUCAAUUACAUAUACACAGAUAAUAAUAAUAAAUAAAUAAAAAACAGCAUCAACUCACCUUCUUGUCCUCUUCGAUAACAACCAAGACCAGGCCCCAUUAGGUCCAUCAUCUCUUCUCUACCUCCUCCGUUAUUUCCUUUAUCUAACCCUCUCCCUCGUCCCUCUUCCUCUCAUUCAAUCUCUCCAUGAAGCGCCCACUAGACACCGGACCCGAAAUCCACAACAAAACCGACAUGAAAAUGAAGAAGAAAAGGCACCAAGAAGAAGGAGAAAUCAAGGAAGAAAUAGAAUCCGAAACCAAUACAGGAACUGGGUUUAUGAAUUUAGACGAGAACUUACUUUUCGAGGUGUUGAAGCAUGUAGACGCGAGGACUUUAGGGAGGGCAUCCUGUGUGAGCAAGCAGUGGCACAGGACAG